Molecule: ribosomal RNA, 476 nt
Filed under: uncultured bacterium
Lineage: Bacteria
Description: bacterial SSU rRNA
Rfam family: Bacterial small subunit ribosomal RNA
Source: RNAcentral
AACGCUGGCGGCGUGCUUAACACAUGCAAGUCGAACGAGAAUCUGCGGAAAGAGGGAUUCGUCCAAUUGAAGCAGAGGACAGUGGCGGACGGGUGAGUAACGCGUGAGGAACCUGCCUUUCAGAGGGGGGACAACAGUUGGAAACGACUGCUAAUACCGCAUGACACAUUGAGGUCGCAUGGCCUUAAUGUCAAAGAUUUAUCACUGUGAGAUGGACCCGCGUCUGAUUAGCCAGUUGGCAGGGUAACGGCCUACCAAAGCGACGAUCAGUAGCCGACCUGAGAGGGUGACCGGCCACAUUGGGACUGAGACACGGCCCAAACUCCUACGGGAGGCAGCAGUGGGGGAUAUUGCACAAUGGAGGAAACUCUGAUGCAGCGACGCCGCGUGAGUGAAGAAGUAUUUCGGUAUGUAAAGCCCUAUCAGCAGGGAAGAUAAUGACAGUACCUGACCAAGAAGCCCCGGCUAACUACGUG